Molecule: long non-coding RNA, 1292 nt
Filed under: Bos indicus x Bos taurus (hybrid cattle)
Lineage: Eukaryota; Metazoa; Chordata; Mammalia; Artiodactyla; Bovidae
Description: lncRNA (ENSBIXG00005024111.1)
Source: RNAcentral
GCAUCCUUGAGGCGGGAUGCAGGCGUGGCCACCCCGGCGCCUUGCUCCAGCCGAGACCAGAUCUACCCUCGUCCGCGCUCCAGGAGAAAACGGAUCUCUGCAACCAUCUCGUACGCUUUCCAGCCGCCCAUCCACCGGCCUCUCCUCCUUCAGUCAGCCUGCAAACCUAGAGGCCCGUUUGCAAAAAAAAAAAAAAAAAUACAGCGUGGAAAAGCCUCCACCGAGUUCGUACAAAGCCCUAGCUCUCUGAAUGGAUUCUUUGGUUUGUUUUUACUUUAACUGAUUUCAGCCUUUAGUCCUGCGCAAACCGCUCUGCUGCUGAGAGAUUUAAAGGAAAGGUUCUGCGCCUUUAAGAACUCAAUUCAGCUGCUCCACGGACUGAAGCACGCCAAGCCUCCCUGUCCUUCACCAUCUCCCGGAGCUUGCUCGGACUCCUGUCCAUUGAACCUUAAGGACUCCAGAGACCAGAGCAACUGAUAAUGUGCCAGGCCUGGAAAAGACCCCACCCAGGGAAGUCUUCCUCUUCCUGUUUCACAGUAACUGAAUGAACCAAGUUGUGGUAUCAACAUUUGAGAAGCUCCCCCAUUGCCUCCCCAGCAAUGCAACAGAGAAGUUUCCAUGGCCUAUAGCAGAAGAUGUUAGGACAGAAUCCAAACCCUCAGUAACACGACACGGAAAAUACAGAUUUGAGAAACAGAUGGUCUUACUUCCCAAUAAGGGGGAAAAAAAUGAUUUUACGCAGGUUGGAGUGGAACCAGAGAAGACUUGCCACUCAAUUCCAGCACUAUGUGCCAGUCACAUACUUUACAGUGAAGCACUUGAACCCUCCCUCCAACAACCCUACCAUGGAAUCUACUAUUAACUGCACUUGAUAGAUUUGAAAACAGUCACGUGGGCUUUCUGGGGGCUCAGUGGUAAAGAAUCCACCUGCUAAUGCAGGAGACACGGGUUCAAUCCCUGGUCCAGGAAGAUCCCACAUGCCAUGGGACAGCUAAGCCAGUGUGCUACGGCUACUGAGCCUGAGCUCUGGAGCCAGCAAGCCACAACUGCUGAGCCCGCAGGCCCUAGAGCCUGUGUGCCACGAGAAAAGCCACUGAGAUGAGAAGCCUGAGCACUGCAACCAGAGAGUAACCGCCCUACCACGAGAAAAGCCAUUGAAAUGAGAAGCCUGAGCACUGCAACUACAGAGUAACUGCCCUGCUCGCUGCGACUAGAGAAAAGCCUGCUUGCAGCAACGAAGACCCAGCACAGCCAUAAAUAAAUAAAUAAAACUAUAUUUUUAAAAAAGAAAA